AUUGCUGUAUUGAGCUGCUCAUCAGUCAGUUUCAUUUCUGUCUUCAGAUCAUCAAUUGUGAGCUCUGAAGAUAGAUAAGCAAGCACACAAGAGACAAAACCUGGCUCCAUUGCUAAAGUAUUACAGCAUUCUCCGAAUGGAAAGAGGUUUGAGGCUGAGAAUGCUGCCCUGUCAGUAAUGAACCCGACGUAUUCAAGUAAGAAAUGUGAUUACCGUAAGACCUUUAAUUAAAGCGACACUUUUUUUAACUAAUUACGAAGCCAGAUGUCGCUUCUUUUGGAGGUUGAACAAUUAUGUUAAAAACCUGAUGUCGUAUCUGAUUAUGGAUAGCUCUACUCAGUCUAUACUUGCCUCAAUUUCUAGAACGUGUUUUCCAAAAACGAUGCUAGGGUGUGGCUAUAUUUACAUCAUUUAGGACGCGACAUUAAAACAUAAUUGUCAACGUAGCUGUCGUAGAAGUCAGAAAAUUACCUAAGCUCGAGAGUGUCGCAUAUUUGGAGGGUCACCUUAAUUAGAGGUCUUACAGUACCAGAACUGCAGAGUUGAGUUUUUGCACUCUCUGAUUGCCGUGUAUUAAGUGUGCACCUCUGGAGAAUUAGCUUUGGUCCAAUAAUUAUAGGAAACAGAAGUUGCAUUUCCUGCCAUAAUUAUGUAUCUCCAAAGCGGUCAAAGUUCACAAUGGCUGCUGCUAGGCAGCACAGCUUUUGUUGCACUUUUAUGACUAAUAAUCAAUA
Molecule: long non-coding RNA, 734 nt
Organism: Halichondria panicea
Lineage: Eukaryota; Metazoa; Porifera; Demospongiae; Suberitida; Halichondriidae
Exons: 3
Source: RefSeq, a predicted model, not a curated record